UCUAUGUAGCUACUUGGUCAUUUAGAGGAAGUAAAAGUCGUAACAAGGUUUCCGUAGGUGAACCUGCGGAAGGAUCAUUAAAGAUUUGGCCUCUGGCCUUUUCAAUCCAAACCUCUGUGAACUGUGGCCCUCGGGCCGAUUUUAAACAUUGUGUAAGUGAAUGUAAUAUUAUUAUAACAAAUAAAACUUUUAACAACGGAUCUCUUGGCUCUCGCAUCGAUGAAGAACGCAGCGAAAUGCGAUAAGUAAUGUGAAUUGCAGAAUUCAGUGAAUCAUCGAAUCUUUGAACGCACCUUGCACCUUUUGGUAUUCCGAAAGGUAUGCCUGUUUGAGUGUCAUGAAAUAUCAACCAUUAGGGUUUCCUAAUCGGCUUGGACUUGGGCAUUGCCAUCUGGCUUGCCUUAAAUGCGUUAGUGGAUGACCCAUUAGCUUUGACGUAAUAAGUUUCGUCAGUCGAGUGGUCAGCAUUUGCUUACAACAACCAAUAUUUCUUAAUCUCUGACCUCAAAUCAGGUAGGACUACCCGCUGAACUUAAGCUAA
This 541-nucleotide ribosomal RNA is filed under the name uncultured fungus. RNAcentral describes it as "eukaryotic LSU rRNA". The stretch from base 185 to 338 matches the Rfam family "5.8S ribosomal RNA". Lineage: Eukaryota; Fungi. The record is from RNAcentral.